RNAcentral lists this ribosomal RNA (270 nucleotides) under uncultured soil bacterium. Its description in RNAcentral is "partial 16S ribosomal RNA". It matches the Rfam family "Bacterial small subunit ribosomal RNA", at positions 26 to 285 of the family's 1533-position model. The record is from RNAcentral.
AGAAUUAACGCUGGCGGCGUGCCUAACACAUGCAAGUCGAACGCGGUUACCCCGCAAGGGGUAACUGAGUGGCGAACGGGUGAGUAACACGUGGGUGACCUACCUUCGAAUGGGGGAUAACGUCCCGAAAGGGACGCUAAUACCGCAUAACAUCCUGCCUUUGAACAGGCGGAGAUCAAAGCCGGGGAUCGCAAGACCUGGCGUUUGAAGAGGGGCCGCGUCCGAUUAGCUAGUCGGUGAGGUAACGGCUCACCAAGGCGACGAUCGGUA